AACUGAUUUGUUUAGUUUUAUUAUGAGAUAAAAAUUAGAUAAUAAAUUUAUAGUUAUAAGGUUUUAUUAUUAUAAUUGUAUAUAUACAAAAUUAUUUUUAUAUAUAAAUUUAUUUAUUAAACAAGAAUUAGAUACUCUUUUAUAUAUAAAUUUAUUUGUAACUUCUCAGUUAUAACUGAAAGAAAUUGGCAGCUAAUUAUAUCUUUCUAUGGGAGUGUGUGUUUUAAUAGAUAUUCCACUAAUAAGUUUACUAUAGAUAUAUAUUUGUUAGUGUAUAUCCGGUUUAGUUAUAUAAAACAAUUGUUUUAUAUAGAUAAAUAUAUUUUUUAAUCCAGGUCAAUAUGCUGCUUAUUUUAUAGUUAAUAUUCGCUACAUUAAAAAAAUAUAAAAUGAAAAUUUUAUAUAUUUAGGACUUAGAAGUAUUAUGAAAUUUUAUUUUGUUCGUGAGAAUUAAGUUUAAUUAGGGUA
Molecule: ribosomal RNA, 468 nt
Filed under: Madapolystoma sp. OV-2015
Lineage: Eukaryota; Metazoa; Platyhelminthes; Monogenea; Polystomatidea; Polystomatidae
Description: partial 12S ribosomal RNA
Source: RNAcentral